RNAcentral lists this small RNA (73 nucleotides) under Sinorhizobium meliloti 2011. Its description in RNAcentral is "putative ncRNA". Lineage: Bacteria; Pseudomonadati; Pseudomonadota; Alphaproteobacteria; Hyphomicrobiales; Rhizobiaceae. The record is from RNAcentral.
GUCUGGAACUCCGUGUCCUCGCUGAUCGGAAUGACGGCCAGUCCCUGGUCGGCCAUACCGCCCACGGUGAAGG